CCCUGGUUAGCUCAGUUGGUAGAGCACUCCACCUGUAGUGGAGAGGUCCCGGGUUCGAUACCCGAACCAGGCG
Non-coding RNA from Ixodes scapularis (black-legged tick), 73 nucleotides. NCBI's taxonomy places the organism in Eukaryota, Metazoa, Arthropoda, Arachnida, Ixodida, Ixodidae. The record is from Rfam.